Molecule: ribosomal RNA, 502 nt
Filed under: uncultured bacterium
Lineage: Bacteria
Description: bacterial SSU rRNA
Rfam family: Bacterial small subunit ribosomal RNA
Source: RNAcentral
AUUGAACGCUGGCGGCAUGCUUUACACAUGCAAGUCGAACGGCAGCACGGGUGCUUGCACCUGGUGGCGAGUGGCGAACGGGUGAGGAAUACAUCGGAACGUACCCCGGAGUGGGGGAUAACGCCGCGAAAGCGGCGCUAAUACCGCAUAUGCUCUGAGGAGGAAAGUGGGGGACCGCAAGGCCUCACGCUCUGGGAGCGGCCGAUGUCCGAUUAGCUAGUUGGUGGGGUAAAGGCCCACCAAGGCGACGAUCGGUAGCUGGUCUGAGAGGAUGAUCAGCCACACUGGGACUGAGACACGGCCCAGACUCCUACGGGAGGCAGCAGUGGGGAAUUUUGGACAAUGGGGGCAACCCUGAUCCAGCCAUGCCGCGUGCGGGAAGAAGGCCUCGGUGUAACGCUUUAGUCGGAGAAAGAUCACUCUUAAUACGGGUGGUUCUUGACGGUACCGGCGGAAUAAGCACCGGCGUAACUACGUGCCAGCAGCCGCGGUAAUACGUCUA